Molecule: ribosomal RNA, 505 nt
Filed under: uncultured Planctomycetota bacterium
Lineage: Bacteria; Pseudomonadati; Planctomycetota
Description: uncultured planctomycete partial 16S ribosomal RNA
Source: RNAcentral
CUCCACCGCUUGUGUGAGCCCCCGUCAAUUCCUUUGAGUUUCAGCCUUGCGACCAUACUCCCCAGGCGGGGUACUUAGCACUUUAGCUCCGGCAGUAAACCCAUGUCAAGUCUACUACCUAGUACCCAUCGUUUAGGGCCAGGACUACCGGGGUAUCUAAUCCCGUUUGCUCCCCUGGCUUUCGCGCCUCAGCGUCAGAUCGGGUCCAGCAUGCCGCCUUCGCCACCGGAGUUCCUGUGGAUAUCAACGCAUUUCACCGCUCCACCCACAGUUCCGCAUGCCCCUACCCGCCUCGAGGCCUCCAGUAUUCGAGGCAGUUCUCCGGUUGAGCCGGAGGAUUUCACCUCGAACUUGGCGGCCCGCCUACGCGCCCUUUAAGCCCAGUUAUUCCGAACAACGUUCGCUCGGUUCGUCUUACCGCGGCUGCUGGCACGAACUUAGCCCGAGCUUCCUCCAGGGAUAGAUCACGCCUUGCGGCCUUUCUCCCCCUCGACAGUGCUUUACA